Molecule: ribosomal RNA, 375 nt
Filed under: uncultured bacterium
Lineage: Bacteria
Description: bacterial SSU rRNA
Rfam family: Bacterial small subunit ribosomal RNA
Source: RNAcentral
CGGUAAUACGUAGGGGGCAAACGUUGUUUAAACCAGUAGGUGUAAAGGGUGCUCAGGCGGUUCUGACUACUAGAGGUGGGCACCCGAUGCUUAACUCUGGAACUGCUUUUGAUACUGCAAGGCUUGAAUCACUAGGAGGAGGAUGGAAUUUCUGGUGUAGCAGUGAAAUGCGUAGAUAUCAGAAAGAACACCAGUGGCGAAGGCGGUCCUCUGGUCCACUAUUGACGCUAAAGCACGAAAGCGUGGGGAGCAAACAGGAUCAGACGUUUCGGUAGUCCACGCCUUAAACGAUGAAUACUAGACGUUGGGGUUAAACUCAGUGUCGCAGCUAACGCAUUAAGUAUUCCACCUGGGGAGUACGAUCGCAAGGUUGAA